RNAcentral lists this ribosomal RNA (75 nucleotides) under Bacillus pumilus. RNAcentral's name for it is "partial 16S ribosomal RNA". The record is from RNAcentral. Lineage: Bacteria; Bacillati; Bacillota; Bacilli; Caryophanales; Bacillaceae.
GACGAACGCUGGCGGCGUGCCUAAUACAUGCAAGUCGAGCGAACAGAAGGGAGCUUGCUCCCGGAUGUUAGCGGC